This 407-nucleotide ribosomal RNA is filed under the name Verrucomicrobiota bacterium. Its description in RNAcentral is "Verrucomicrobia bacterium partial 16S ribosomal RNA". It matches the Rfam family "Bacterial small subunit ribosomal RNA", at positions 355 to 776 of the family's 1533-position model. The record is from RNAcentral. Lineage: Bacteria; Pseudomonadati; Verrucomicrobiota.
UGGGGAAUAUUGGACAAUGGAGGAAACUCUAAUCCAGCAAUUCUGUGUGUGUGAAGAAGGUUUUAGGACUGUAAAACACUUUUAGUAGGGAAGAAAAAAAUGACGGUACCUACAGAAGAAGCAACGGCUAAAUACGUGCCAGCAGCCGCGGUAAUACGUAUGUUGCGAGCGUUAUCCGGAAUUAUUGGGCUUAAAGGGCAUCUAGGCGGUAAGACAAGUUGAAGGUGAAAACCUGUGGCUCAACCAUAGGCUUGCCUACAAAACUGUUGAACUAGAGUACUGGAAAGGUGGGUGGAACUACACGAGUAGAGGUGAAAUUCGUAGAUAUGUGUAGGAAUGCCGAUGAUGAAGAUAGCUCACUGGACAGAAACUGACGCUGAAGUGCGAAAGCUAGGGGAGCAAACAGG